This is a long non-coding RNA of Zingiber officinale, 1106 nucleotides long. RefSeq lists it as uncharacterized. Lineage: Eukaryota; Viridiplantae; Streptophyta; Magnoliopsida; Zingiberales; Zingiberaceae. The record is from RefSeq and is a predicted model, not a curated record. The transcript is spliced from 5 exons.
UUUAGGCGAUGUCUAUGAGCGCCCCUUUUUUCGUUAAUAGACAUCGAUUUUAACAUCGUUUUUUAAAAUCCGAUGUUAAUAAACCCAAAUAAAAUAUUUUAAUUUUCCCCACAAGUCAAAAUCUGCCUAAGUGUUUUCCCUCCAAACCUAAAUCUUUAUCCCGCCCCUUCCUCCGCGCGACCAUCUCUCUCGCGAUAACCUAAACCGAAGCCUAAACCUCCGACCAUCCGACCAUCUCUCUCAGCCUAAACCUAAACCUCCGACCAUCUCUCUCAGCCUCAUCUCACUCUUCCCUUUCUUGAAUCUCUUCCCCUUCUUAAUCGUCUGAUUGCUAAAGGUUGAGGAUGGGGUUUGGGGUUAACCUCUCUAUAAAGCGCCGAAGCCUUUUCUUUUCCCCCGACUUUCUCCUCUGUUCUUCCUCUGCUUCUCGCGACUUCGGACUUCACGCGACCGAGACCGGCGAUUUCUUCUUCUCUCGGUGGCGCCGGCGAAGAGCGGACCUUGGAGCGUUGAGAGGAAGAGAGGUUAGUUACAGCCGAACCUUCUUUCUCCCCGAUCCCUUCCUCCCUUCUCUGAUCUCGGUGAACAACGGCGACGGAUCUCGAUCGGUGGAUUUCGCCGGAUGUCGGGAGGGAACCAAGGGCAUCGGCGUUGGAUCAGGCCAACAUCGAUUGUUUGGAGGAGGUAACAACCAUUGUUCCUUCCCGAUCUCUGUCCCUGUUCGUCGGCAAGAACAAGUCGUUGCCCUAACUUCGAUCUUGGAGAGACUGGUAUUUUGGUCCCGGCCACCACAGCUCUGUUGGAUCGAUCUCUUCUUCGUAUCAGUGAUCGUCUCCGGUGAUUGAAGGGCGCAGAGAGGAUGCGAUGUGCUUAUUUUAGAUACUGGAUUGGGAAGUGCAGAGAAUCAAGCAAGGGUCAAGGAGUUGCUUCAUGUGGAGGAAUCAAAACUAGAGGAGGAUGAGGGAGUGCCACAAGAAUGGAGUUAUGCACCGGGAUCUUAAACCUGAGAACUUCUUGUUUGGGAACAAAAGGGAAAAUGCCCCAUUGAAGACGAUUGACUUCGGGUUGUCUGUGUUUUUCAGACCUGGUGAGCGCUUUAACGAAAU